Molecule: ribosomal RNA, 534 nt
Filed under: Frigoribacterium sp.
Lineage: Bacteria; Bacillati; Actinomycetota; Actinomycetes; Micrococcales; Microbacteriaceae
Description: bacterial SSU rRNA
Rfam family: Bacterial small subunit ribosomal RNA
Source: RNAcentral
CUACGGGAGGCAGCAGUGGGGAAUAUUGCACAAUGGGCGAAAGCCUGAUGCAGCAACGCCGCGUGAGGGAUGACGGCCUUCGGGUUGUAAACCUCUUUUAGUAGGGAAGAAGCGAAAGUGACGGUACCUGCAGAAAAAGCACCGGCUAACUACGUGCCAGCAGCCGCGGUAAUACGUAGGGUGCAAGCGUUGUCCGGAAUUAUUGGGCGUAAAGAGCUCGUAGGCGGUUUGUCGCGUCUGCUGUGAAAUCUGGGGGCUCAACCCCCAGCCUGCAGUGGGUACGGGCAGACUAGAGUGCGGUAGGGGAGAUUGGAAUUCCUGGUGUAGCGGUGGAAUGCGCAGAUAUCAGGAGGAACACCGAUGGCGAAGGCAGAUCUCUGGGCCGUAACUGACGCUGAGGAGCGAAAGCAUGGGGAGCGAACAGGAUUAGAUACCCUGGUAGUCCAUGCCGUAAACGUUGGGAACUAGAUGUGGGGGCCAUUCCACGGUCUCCGUGUCGCAGCUAACGCAUUAAGUUCCCCGCCUGGGGAGUAC